CUAGAGGAUGAUCCGGGGGUGGGGUGGGGAGCUCAGGGACUGCUCUGUUCUCGCGAUGUUUGCGGGGACCCUGUCUCGGUGUUUCCAUGUAGGAGGCUUUGCAGACUGGUGGAGUUACGUCGUCCAAUAGCCCUUUCGUUAUUGUUUUAAUUACACUCUGCCAGCACGAUGUUGGACCAUUAUUUUUACGUUGAAGAAUCAGCUUAUUCCACCCCAUUUCUUAUUUUGACUUUUAAACAAGUAAAACGCUCACUCAAGGCACUGAAGAACCUCAUCAGGAUAAAGUGUUGGAUCUGGUAUGGGCUUGGCUCUGUGGCAAUGAGCCGUGGCAAGAAGGAGAGAGGUCCAAAGGAUAUGGAAUGUGAUGUGCAGUGGGAAGAGAAGAGGCAUGGGAGAGACUUUCUGGGACAUAAAACCUUCGGUCCUACAGCCGGAGACCUGUGACCUACGGAGCCACAGGGGGAGAUCUGAGCUGUGCCACCAGGAAGGCCUGACUGCCUUGUGACCCCCCCUUACAUAUAUACAGAAGCAUUUCCUGUGGACAAUGGAGGGCCCAGCCUCAUCGUACUCCGGCUUGCUGAUCCACAUCUGCUGGAAGGUGGAGAGAGAGGCCAGGAUGGAGCCUCCAAUCCAGACGGAGUACUUCCGCUCCGGAGGAGCAAUGAUCUGCAAAGAGAAAAUGCGGUGAAUCAUGGCCCUUCCUUAAGAGGACCCAGCAUGUUUGUCUCAAAGUAUCCUCCAAGGCCCUAUCUGUGGAUGGGCUGGACCCCAGACUCUGUGGCCGAGAGGGAAGAGAACAGAAGAGCAAAGUGCCCUGUCCUUAUGAACAGCUAGAAGCUAAGCCACUUCCAACAAAGGUUACUGCUGUUUAGCCCACGGUAUAAAAGGUGACUGUAGUAGGAAACGGAGGCCAGAAGUUCAGCUGUGGAGAGAAACUCAGCCAGGAACUACAGCUGACUGCCUCAACUUCCCCAGUCAGUUUCUGUUGUUCCUAAGACCCCAGUUUGAUGAUGUCACCUACCUACCGGUAUUUGUUCUUUUACUUGGAGGGGACACUCUGCCCUGCCCAGGACUCUUUCUUGGGAACCCAGCUGACCACCCUCCCCAGCUGAUUUCCACCGGAUGUUUUGAGUAACCAACCUGACGAUGUUCUGCUAUCUACGAAUCUGUCAUCUGUCCCUUACUAUUUAUUCUUUUACUUUGGCUUGCUAUAAGCUUACUACAUAGCCUCUGUCAUUCAAAACCAAAGGUAUGGCCACCACAGAUGGUUUUCAGGACUGUGAAGAAAAGCUGGAGCCAGAAGAGCAAUGGGCUUCAGCGGUACUGACCUGUGGUGCGGCCAGAUGCAUAGAGGGAGAGCACAGCCUGAAUGGCGACAUACAUGGCAGGGACAUUGAAGGUUUCGAACAUGAUCUGGAAGGACAGCAAGAGGAAGAGAACUGCCUUACAAACAUCACAGCGUCUCCUGGACUACAGAAUGCUCUGUAAUUUUCCCAAGGGCAAGAACUCUACCAACCUAGUGGUCCUUCUUUCUCCCACUUCCACUCCCCAUGGGACCUGCCCUGGUGACCCCACACACACAGCAAAUCUGUAGACACUGCGCUGCACUGAUACAGGACGGCCAGGCUGCUUCCUGUGCACAGUGCUCUUACCUGGGUCAUCUUCUCCCUGUUGGCCUUGGGGUUUAGGGGAGCCUCUGUGAGCAGGGUUGGAUGUUCUUCGGGUGCUACCCGCAGCUCAUUGUAGAAGGAGUGGUGCCAGAUCUAGUUGAGACAAAAGCCAGAGAAGCCCAGCAGAUUCCCCAGGGGUCUGAAGAAUAUCCAACUGGCCUGUGCAUACUGGAGGAGGGCAGCCAAGUGCUACACAGGACAGGGUGAAUCUGGGGAAUCUCAUGGCUGUUACACAGAGAAACCCUGUCUUGAGGAACAAAGCAAAAACAAAAACAAAAAAGAUUCUCCAUCCCUAAAUAACUAAGCAGUUAUUUCAGAACAACCCAUCUAAUUCCUAUGCAGAUUUUCUUUUAAGAUCCAUAACGUAUACCUAGGGCUUUCUUUAAAGACUUCAUACACUGUCCCUACUGUGAGAAAAGAUUUUGUUGCUUAUGUUCUUGAAUUAAGUAUUUAGAGAUGUGUGUGAAUAAUGAGUGUCAUUUCCAAAGCUCCAACCCAUAUGUUGGAGUCACAAUAAAUCAGUGUGUGAUUUCAUUGCCAAAGCA
Molecule: non-coding RNA, 2215 nt
Organism: Cricetulus griseus (Chinese hamster)
Lineage: Eukaryota; Metazoa; Chordata; Mammalia; Rodentia; Cricetidae
Source: RefSeq, a predicted model, not a curated record